CGAUGGCUCUGGUGGCUCUGGCCUCUGAGGUCUGAGCUUGAUGAUAAUCAUUCAUCAAUAACGGCAUAAGCCAAGAAAUUCGAGAGAGUGGGGCAAUUUGGUUGGAUUUAGACGAUGAUGAACUAAAACUGAAAUGGUCUUAGAAUGAAGAAGAUAAGGAUGAUGACGAUUAUGAGCAGCAUAGAGCGAAGAAUGGCAGCGGCGUGGCACAAGAAGUACGUGAUAAGAAGAGCUAUAAGCACCCAAAUUCUAAUGUCUCCUCAAUCUCUCGUUUCUCUUGACCUACCUGAGAUUUGGACUGCAGCCGCAGAUAAUCUUCGCCCUCCUACUUCCCUAAACUGCUCCAAUGAGCAGGAUGCUGUUGUAAUAGACGGGAA
RNAcentral lists this unclassified non-coding RNA (377 nucleotides) under Hevea brasiliensis (rubber tree). Lineage: Eukaryota; Viridiplantae; Streptophyta; Magnoliopsida; Malpighiales; Euphorbiaceae. The record is from RNAcentral.